GACGAACGCUGGCGGCGCGCUUAACACAUGCAAGUCGAACGGAAAGGCCUGCUUUCCCUUGUGGAUUGCGGGUACUCGAGUGGCGAACGGGUGAGUAACACGUGAGUGAUCUGCCCCCAACUUGGGUAUAAGCCUGGGAAACUGGGUCUAAUUCCCGAUAGGACUGCAGGGUGGUUCCUGUGGUGGAAAACGAUUUUCUAGUGGUUGGGGAUGAGCUCGCGGCCUGUCAGCUUGUUGGUGGGGUAAUGGCCUACCAAGGCGGCGACGGGUAGCCGGCCUGGGAGGGUGGACGGCCACAUUGGGACUGGGAUACGGCCCAGACUCCUACGGGAGGCAGCAGUGGGGAAUAUUGCACAAUGGGCGGAAGCCUGAUGCAGCGACGCCGCGUGGGGGAUGACGGCCUUCGGGUUGUAAACUCCUUUCGACCGCGAGGAAGCCACCUGGUUGGAAGGGUGGUGACGGUAGUGGUAGAAGAAGCACCGGCUAACUACGUG
This 494-nucleotide ribosomal RNA is filed under the name uncultured bacterium. RNAcentral describes it as "partial 16S ribosomal RNA". It matches the Rfam family "Bacterial small subunit ribosomal RNA", at positions 28 to 507 of the family's 1533-position model. The record is from RNAcentral.